GAUGAACGCUGGCGGCGUGCCUAAUACAUGCAAGUCGAGCGAACGGACGAGACGCUUGCUUCUCUGCUGUUAGCGGCGGACGGGUGAGUCACACGUGGAUAACCUACCUAUAAGACUGGGAUAACUUCGGGAAACCGGAUCUAAUACCGGAUGAUAUUUUGAACCGCAUGGUUCAAAAGUGAAAGACGUUCUUGCUGUCACUUAUAGAUGGAUCCGCGCUGCAUUAGCUAGUUGGUAAGGUAACGGCUUACCAAGGCAACGAUGCAUAGCCGACCUGAGAGGGUGAUCAGCCACACUGGAACUGAGACACGGUCCAGACUCCUACGGGAGGCAGCAGUAGGGAAUCUUCGGCAAUGGGCGAAAGCCUGAUGGAGCAACGCCGCGUGAGUGAUGAAGGUCUUCGGAUCGUAAAACUCUGUUAUUAGGGAAGAACAUAUGUGUAAGUAACUGUGCACAUCUUGACGGUACCUAAUCAGAAAGCCACGGCUAACUACGUG
RNAcentral lists this ribosomal RNA (497 nucleotides) under uncultured bacterium. Its description in RNAcentral is "partial 16S ribosomal RNA". It matches the Rfam family "Bacterial small subunit ribosomal RNA", at positions 28 to 507 of the family's 1533-position model. The record is from RNAcentral.